RNAcentral lists this ribosomal RNA (463 nucleotides) under uncultured bacterium. Its description in RNAcentral is "bacterial SSU rRNA". It matches the Rfam family "Bacterial small subunit ribosomal RNA", at positions 339 to 794 of the family's 1533-position model. The record is from RNAcentral.
UUACGGGAGGCAGCAGUGGGGAAUUUUGCGCAAUGGGGGAAACCCUGACGCAGCAACGCCGCGUGAGUGAUGAAGGCUUUCGGGUCGUAAAGCUCUGUCAGAGGGGAAGAAAUGGGGCUGGCUAAUAUCCAGUCUUCUUGACGGUACCCUCAAAGGAAGCACCGGCUAACUCCGUGCCAGCAGCCGCGGUAAUACGGAGGGUGCAAGCGUUGUUCGGAUUUAUUGGGCGUAAAGCGCGUGUAGGCGGUUUCUUAAGUCUGAUGUGAAAGCCCUGGGCUCAACCCAGGAAGUGCAUUGGAUACUGGGAGACUUGAAUACGGGAGAGGGUAGUGGAAUUCCUAGUGUAGGAGUGAAAUCCGUAGAUAUUAGGAGGAACACCGGUGGCGAAGGCGGCUACCUGGACCGAUAUUGACGCUGAGACGCGAAAGCGUGGGGAGCAAACAGGAUUAGAUACCCCGGUAGC